RNAcentral lists this ribosomal RNA (506 nucleotides) under uncultured bacterium. RNAcentral's name for it is "partial 16S ribosomal RNA". It matches the Rfam family "Bacterial small subunit ribosomal RNA", at positions 30 to 523 of the family's 1533-position model. The record is from RNAcentral.
AUUGAACGCUAACGGCGUGCUUAACACAUGCAAGUCGAGCGGCAGCAUGACUGUAGCAAUACAGUUGAUGGCGAGCGGCGGACGGGUGAGUAAUGCAUAGGAAUCUGCCUUGUAGUGGGGGAUAACCCGGGGAAACUCGGGCUAAUACCGCAUAAUCUCUACGGAGCAAAGUGGGGGAUCGUAAGACCUCACGCUAAAAGAUGAGCCUAUGUUGGAUUAGCUAGUUGGUGAGGUAAUGGCUCACCAAGGCGACGAUCCAUAGCUGGUCUGAGAGGAUGCUCAGCCACACUGGGACUGAGACACGGCCCAGACUCCUACGGGAGGCAGCAGUGGGGAAUAUUGGACAAUGGGCGAAAGCCUGAUCCAGCAACGCCGUGUGUGUGAAGAAGGCCUUCGGGUUGUAAAGCACUUUUAGUUGGGAAGAAAAGCUCAUGGGUAAUAUCCAUGAGUGCUGACGUUACCAACAGAAAAAGCACUGGCUAACUCUGAGCCAGCCGCCGCGGUAA